Molecule: ribosomal RNA, 253 nt
Filed under: uncultured bacterium
Lineage: Bacteria
Description: partial 16S ribosomal RNA
Rfam family: Archaeal small subunit ribosomal RNA
Source: RNAcentral
UACCAGCACCCCGAGUGGUCGGGCCGAUUAUUGGGCCUAAAGCAUCCGUAGGCGGUCCUACAAGUCUUCCGUUAAAUCCACCUGCUUAACAGAUGGGCUGCGGAAGAUACUAUAGGGCUAGGAGGCGGGAGAGGCAAGCGGUACUCAGUGGGUAGGGGUAAAAUCCUCUGAUCCAUUGAAGACCACCAGUGGCGAAGGCGGCUUGCCAGAACGCGCUCGACGGUGAGGGAUGAAAGCUGGGGGAGCAAACCGG